RNAcentral lists this ribosomal RNA (234 nucleotides) under uncultured bacterium. RNAcentral describes it as "partial 16S ribosomal RNA". It matches the Rfam family "Bacterial small subunit ribosomal RNA", at positions 116 to 334 of the family's 1533-position model. The record is from RNAcentral.
CGUGGGUAAUCUGCCUUCGGGUUUGGGACAACUCCGGGAAACUGGAGCUAAUACCGAAUAAGACCACGAGGUCUCCGGACCUUGCGGAAAAAGGUGGCCUCUUCUUGAAAGCUAUCGCCUGUUGUUGAGCCCGCGUCCCAUUAGCUUGUUGGUGAGGUAAGAGCUCACCAAGGCAUCGAUGGGUAGCUGGUCUGAGAGGAUGAUCAGCCACACUGGAACUGAGACACGGUCCAG